Molecule: transfer RNA, 71 nt
Filed under: Candidatus Woesearchaeota archaeon RBG_13_36_6
Lineage: Archaea; Nanobdellati; Candidatus Woesearchaeota
Description: tRNA-Thr
Rfam family: tRNA
About the family: Transfer RNA (tRNA) molecules are approximately 80 nucleotides in length. Their secondary structure includes four short double-helical elements and three loops (D, anti-codon, and T loops). Further hydrogen bonds mediate the characteristic L-shaped molecular structure. tRNAs have two regions of fundamental functional importance: the anti-codon, which is responsible for specific mRNA codon recognition, and the 3' end, to which the tRNAs corresponding amino acid is attached (by aminoacyl-tRNA synthetases). tRNAs cope with the degeneracy of the genetic code in two manners: having more than one tRNA (with a specific anti-codon) for a particular amino acid; and 'wobble' base-pairing, i.e. permitting non-standard base-pairing at the 3rd anti-codon position.
Source: RNAcentral
GCCUCUGUAGCAUAGUGGUGGUGCGUCGCCUUGGUAAGGCGAAGGUCGAGGGUUCAAACCAACCUUUUGCC